Long non-coding RNA from Carassius auratus (goldfish), 771 nucleotides. RefSeq lists it as uncharacterized. The record is from RefSeq and is a predicted model, not a curated record. Lineage: Eukaryota; Metazoa; Chordata; Actinopteri; Cypriniformes; Cyprinidae. The transcript is spliced from 2 exons.
UAAUAUUGAUAUGUUCUAUCGUUUAAUUGUACUAUUUCACUCUAAAUGAGUAUAAGUGUGGUCAUAGUGAACCGCGUGGUUAUUCCUCCAUUUCAGUUCACCGGCGCCAUUAUUGGUCACAUGCGCAUGUGUGAGGAAGACAGAUAGGAUUGUUCUAGAGGCCAGGUUUUUUUUGUCCCUUUCUUUUUUUUUCUCUUCUUCCUUGUAUUUCUAUUUUUUUUCCUUGGUUCUGGAUUGUGAUCUUUUGCGAUAUCCUGUGAAAUUCACGUUUGAUGGCGAGCCACCCGAAUCUGCUACAGAGAGGAAAAGACUACAAUUCAUAAAGAAGAGGACCAUAUCCUUUCUUUCAUUCUCCAGUCUUGCUUUAAGUAAGACAAUUCCUAUUAGAGACUAUUGAAUACAUUUUUUGUUUUUGAGAUUGACAAAUACAGGGAUUGACAAGAAACUGAUCCAUGCUUUGAAUAGCAUUGAACACUCUUGAUGGUGUAUGGUUACCCAUAGCCAUAAGUUGAUUGAAAUUGAUAUGUGAUAUAUUUUGAGAAAGGUGUUUUAAAAGAGAAAAAAAGACACCACUCCUUUGAGUAUUUUUUUUAUUUUAUUUCUUUUUGUCAUUUCAUUUACCAGUCUGUACAAUACUUUUCUGUUUUCUGGGGUAAAAGAAGAGUGCACUCUCGAGGGGAUUUUCAUGCUUGAGAUUUGUAUCAUUGCCUGAUAUUGUAUUUAACCUGAUUAUAAUUCUCACUGGAAAUCUAAUUACAUACCAGUUUGCAU